GGAAACGACUGCUAAUACCGCAUACGCCCUACGGGGGAAAGCAGGGGACCUUCGGGCCUUGCGCGAUUGGAUAUGCCCAGGUGGGAUUAGCUUGUUGGUGAGGUAAUGGCUCACCAAGGCGACGAUCCCUAGCUGGUCUGAGAGGAUGAUCAGCCACACUGGAACUGAGACACGGUCCAGACUCCUACGGGAGGCAGCAGUGGGGAAUAUUGCACAAUGGGGGAAACCCUGAUGCAGCCAUGCCGCGUGUGUGAAGAAGGCCUUCGGGUUGUAAAGCACU
This 280-nucleotide ribosomal RNA is filed under the name Aeromonas sp. RNAcentral's name for it is "partial 16S ribosomal RNA". It matches the Rfam family "Bacterial small subunit ribosomal RNA", at positions 152 to 434 of the family's 1533-position model. Lineage: Bacteria; Pseudomonadati; Pseudomonadota; Gammaproteobacteria; Aeromonadales; Aeromonadaceae. The record is from RNAcentral.